Molecule: ribosomal RNA, 200 nt
Filed under: uncultured bacterium
Lineage: Bacteria
Description: partial 16S ribosomal RNA
Rfam family: Bacterial small subunit ribosomal RNA
Source: RNAcentral
UACGUAGGGAGCGAGCGUUAUCCGGAAUUAUUGGGCGUAAAGCGUGCGUAGGCGGUUUAUUAAGUCAAAUCUGAAAGUCCACAGCUCAACUGUGGAAGGUGAUUUGAAACUGGUAAACUUGAGUACGGCAGAGGUUAGUGGAAUUCAAUGUGUAGCGGUGGAAUGCGUAGAUAUAUUGAGGAACACCAGUGGCGAAGGCG